This 396-nucleotide ribosomal RNA is filed under the name uncultured bacterium. Its description in RNAcentral is "partial 16S ribosomal RNA". It matches the Rfam family "Bacterial small subunit ribosomal RNA", at positions 523 to 918 of the family's 1533-position model. The record is from RNAcentral.
AUACGUAGGGGGCGAGCGUUGUCCGGAAUGAUUGGGCGUAAAGGGCGCGUAGGCGGCCCGGUAAGUCUGGAGUGAAAGUCCUGUUUUUAAGAUGGGAAUUGCUUUGGAUACUGUCGGGCUUGAGUGCAGGAGAGGUAAGUGGAAUUCCCAGUGCAGCGGUGAAAUGCGUAGAGAUUGGGAGGAACACCAGUGGCGAAGGCGACUUACUGGACUGUAACUGACGCUGAGGCGCGAAAGUGUGGGGAGCAAACAGGAUUAGAUACCCUGGUAGUCCACGCUGUAAACGAUGAAUACUAGGUGUGGGGGGACUGACCCCCUCCGUGCCGCAGUUAACACAAUAAGUAUUCCACCUGGGGAGUACGAUCGCAAGAUUGAAACUCAAAGGAAUUGACGGGG